CCUACGGGUGGCAGCAGUGAGGAAUAUUGGUCAAUGGACGAGAGUCUGAACCAGCCAAGUAGCGUGAAGGAUGACUGCCCUAUGGGUUGUAAACUUCUUUUAUAUGGGAAUAAAAUGUUCCAAGUGUGGGAUUUUGUAUGUACAAUAUGAAUAAGGAUCGGCUAACUCCGUGCCAGCAGCCGCGGUAAUACGGAGGAUCCGAGCGUUAUCCGGAUUUAUUGGGUUUAAAGGGAGCGUAGGUGGAUUGUUAAGUCAGUUGUGAAAGUUUGCGGCUCAACCGUAAAAUUGCAGUUGAAACUGGCAGUCUUGAGUACAGUAGAGGUGGGCGGAAUGCGUGGUGUAGCGGUGAAAUGCUUAGAUAUCACGAAGAACUCCGAUUGCGAAGGCAGUUCACUGGACUGCAACUGACACUGAGGCUCGAAAGUGUGGGUAUCAAACAGGAUUAGAUACCCGGGUAGUC
Molecule: ribosomal RNA, 460 nt
Filed under: uncultured bacterium
Lineage: Bacteria
Description: partial 16S ribosomal RNA
Rfam family: Bacterial small subunit ribosomal RNA
Source: RNAcentral